AAACCUGAUUGUUCUGAGACUA
This 22-nucleotide non-coding RNA is filed under the name Arabidopsis thaliana (thale cress). The record is from RNAcentral. Lineage: Eukaryota; Viridiplantae; Streptophyta; Magnoliopsida; Brassicales; Brassicaceae.